AAGAAAUAAAUUCGUUAUCUUGAUGUAAUCAGGGGUGUACGGAAUUUUACACCGUUGUUGAAAAUUCAUACACCCAUUCGGCUGCGCCUCAGGGUGUAUAAAUUUUCAUCAACGGUGUAAAAUUCUGUACACCCCUGAUUACACCAAAAUAACUAAUAUUAUUUCUUAUGCAGCAAAAAUACUAUAAUCUGAUUGGUUGACUACCCCGGUGUAAAUAACACCCUACUCUUGUUCACCCGGG
RNAcentral lists this long non-coding RNA (241 nucleotides) under Mytilus galloprovincialis (Mediterranean mussel). Lineage: Eukaryota; Metazoa; Mollusca; Bivalvia; Mytilida; Mytilidae. The record is from RNAcentral.